UAGGGUGCGAGCGUUGUCCGGAAUUACUGGGCGUAAAGAGCUCGUAGGUGGUUUGUCGCGUUGUUCGUGAAAACUCACAGCUUAACUGUGGGCGUGCGGGCGAUACGGGCAGACUAGAGUACUGCAGGGGAGACUGGAGUUCCUGGUGUAGCGGUGGAAUGCGCAGAUAUCAGGAGGAACACCGGUGGCGAAGGCGGGUCUCUGGGCAGUAACUGACGCUGAGGAGCGAAAGCGUGGGGAGCGAACAGGAUUAGAUACCCUGGUAGUCCACGCCGUAAACGGUGGGUACUAGGUGUGGGUUCCUUCCUUGGGAUCCGUGCCGUAGCUAACGCAUUAAGUACCCCGCCUGGGGAGUACGGCCGCAAGGCUAAAACUCAAAGGAAUUGACGGGGGCCCGCACAAGCGGCGGAGCAUGUGGAUUAAUUCGAUGCAACGCGAAGAACCUUACCUGGGUUUGACAUGCACAGGACGCCGGCAGAGAUGUCGGUUCCCUUGUGGCCUGUGUGCAGGUGGUGCAUGGCUGUCGUCAGCUCGUGUCGUGAGAUGUUGGGUUAAGUCCCGCAACGAGCGCAACCCUUGUCCUAUGUUGCCAGCGGGUUGUGCCGGGGACUCGUAGGAGACUGCCGGGGUCAACUCGGAGGAAGGUGGGGAUGACGUCAAGUCAUCAUGCCCCUUAUGUCCAGGGCUUCACACAUGCUACAAUGGUCGGUACAAAGGGCUGCGAUGCCGUGAGGUGGAGCGAAUCCUUUCAAAGCCGGUCUCAGUUCGGAUCGGGGUCUGCAACUCGACCCCGUGAAGUCGGAG
RNAcentral lists this ribosomal RNA (804 nucleotides) under uncultured Mycobacterium sp. RNAcentral's name for it is "bacterial SSU rRNA". It matches the Rfam family "Bacterial small subunit ribosomal RNA", at positions 528 to 1331 of the family's 1533-position model. The record is from RNAcentral. Lineage: Bacteria; Bacillati; Actinomycetota; Actinomycetes; Mycobacteriales; Mycobacteriaceae.